This 637-nucleotide ribosomal RNA is filed under the name uncultured bacterium. RNAcentral describes it as "bacterial SSU rRNA". It matches the Rfam family "Bacterial small subunit ribosomal RNA", at positions 202 to 842 of the family's 1533-position model. The record is from RNAcentral.
UAAAGGUAUUCCGGUAGACGAUGGGGAUGCGUUCCAUUAGAUAGUAGGCGGGGUAACGGCCCACCUAGUCUUCGAUGGAUAGGGGUUCUGAGAGGAAGGUCCCCCACAUUGGAACUGAGACACGGUCCAAACUCCUACGGGAGGCAGCAGUGAGGAAUAUUGGUCAAUGGGCGAGAGCCUGAACCAGCCAAGUAGCGUGAAGGAUGACUGCCCUAUGGGUUGUAAACUUCUUUUAUAAAGGAAUAAAGUCGGGUAUGCAUACCCGUUUGCAUGUACUUUAUGAAUAAGGAUCGGCUAACUCCGUGCCAGCAGCCGCGGUAAUACGGAGGAUCCGAGCGUUAUCCGGAUUUAUUGGGUUUAAAGGGAGCGUAGAUGGAUGUUUAAGUCAGUUGUGAAAGUUUGCGGCUCAACCGUAAAAUUGCAGUUGAUACUGGAUAUCUUGAGUGCAGUUGAGGCAGGCGGAAUUCGUGGUGCAGCGGUGAAAUGCUUAGAUAUCACGAGGAACUCCGAUUGCGAAGGCAGCCUGCUAAGCUGCAACUGACAUUGAGGCUCGAAAGUGUGGGUAUCAAACAGGAUUAGAUACCCUGGUAGUCCACACGGUAAACGAUGAAUACUCGCUGUUUGCGAUAUACGGCAA